RNAcentral lists this ribosomal RNA (456 nucleotides) under uncultured Chloroflexota bacterium. Its description in RNAcentral is "bacterial SSU rRNA". It matches the Rfam family "Bacterial small subunit ribosomal RNA", at positions 916 to 1382 of the family's 1533-position model. The record is from RNAcentral. Lineage: Bacteria; Bacillati; Chloroflexota.
GGGGCCCGCACAAGCAGCGGAGCGUGUGGUUAAUUCGAUGCAACACGAAGAACCUUACCAAGGCUUGACAUGACAGAAGUAGGAAUCCCGAAAGGAAGACGACCUGUAUCCAAUCAGGAGCUGCCACAGGUGCUGCAUGGCUGUCGUCAGCUCGUGCCGUGAGGUGUUGGGUUAAGUCCCGCAACGAGCGCAACCCUCGUCGUUAGUUAAUUUCUCUAACGAGACUGCCCCGCAUAACGGGGAGGAAGGUGGGAUGACGUCAAGUCAGCAUGGCCUUUAUGUCUUGGGCAACACACACGCUACAAUGGAUGGUACAAAGAGUCGCUAAGGAGCAAUCCGGAGCUAAUCUCAAAAAACUAUCCUCAGUUCGGAUUGCAGGCUGAAACCGCCUGCAUGAAGGCGGAGUUGCUAGUAACCGCAGGUCAGCAUACUGCGGUGAAUACGUUCUCGGGCCUU